Molecule: long non-coding RNA, 960 nt
Filed under: Gouania willdenowi (blunt-snouted clingfish)
Lineage: Eukaryota; Metazoa; Chordata; Actinopteri; Blenniiformes; Gobiesocidae
Description: lncRNA (ENSGWIG00000013280.1)
Source: RNAcentral
CGAUGAUGAACUUGUGAAGUACGUAAAUUAUCCCGAAGCAAAAUGUCAUUAUUCUUCCAACUUUGUCCCAUCCAGUGCCCUGCAUCCCUCGCUUGUCAGACGUGGAGAUCGACUGCUUGUCAAACUCGGCGUGGGUGAUGUAUAACGAGUCGGCGGGGGCCGAGAACUACGUCGUCAUGGCAACGGACAGGACGACAGACAACGUACAGAUGUUUGAGUGUAACAUCACGUCAGAUGGGAUGUGUUCGCUGCCGCCGUUGGCCUGCAGCCAGAAUCUCACCUUUACCCUGAGAGCUCAGGACCAGCAGUGCGCCAGUGCACCCAGCAACGCCAUCACAGCUGAGACUGCUCCCUGUUCUCCAGAGAAUGUUACACAGUCUGUUGACUGCAAUAAUGGGACCAUCAGCAUCAGCUGGUUGCCUGUCUUCGGUGCGGUGUCGUACACGGCCACACUGGAGGAGCUAUCAAGAGGAAUAACCAGCUGCUGCAAAACUUCAGACGCCAACUGUGACGUCACAGACCUGCCGUGCGGACAAUUGUACAUCCUACAUGUCACGGCUCAGGGGCAAACGUGCAACAGUUCAGAGAGCGAAGGGAUCCUCACCAGGACAGUGCCAUGUGUACCAGAAAAUCUCAGCUCCAGUUUGAGCUGCAGCACCAACGUGGCCAAAGUGUCGUGGAGCAGCAGCGAAGGAGGACAGAUUUACACGGUGACGGCAGAGGGAGACGAUGGACAUGUGCACAACUGCCAGUCGCCUUCCAGCCAGUGUGACCUGACAGACCUGCACUGUGGACGGUACUACACCACCACGGUGACUGCCGAGAACAUGGUGUGCAGCAGCAAACCAGGCGACAGCAUGAGCAUCAAGACAGGUGUGUAUUUCAAAAGAGUUGUUCUCAACAAAGGCUGUGUUUGAAAUGGCAUACUAAUCUACUAUACACUACACACUCAGUAGUAUA